AUGCCUACUCUAAAGGAUUGCUACGCAUGCAGGGAAAAAAUCGGAGUUGCCAGCAAAACAUGUCAGCACUGUAGGGCCAAACAGCCAUAUAAGGAAUUGCUUGAAAAAAAAAAGAAACAGCUUUCCCAGGAAUGGAAAGAGAGACAAAAAAAAAACAGCAGUGUAAACAAAGUUUACGAUGCAACAAAUCUACUACUCCACAAGUGGGAACUUUUAGAGAGGUUCCCAGUGCUACUUCUUGCCAGGAGAACCUCAAAUGGAUUUUCAGCUGAAUGCUUCUGUCCAUGGAAGAUAGGGACGGAAGAUAGUCAGGAUGCUUUUCUGACAAUAAAGCGACUGUAUGAAAGUCUUCUCAAUGGUAAUAAACACAAAUGUGCAAUGCUUGCUAAAUUUUCACAUAAUGCAUUGCUUAUUAGUGCAUCCUCGACUGAUUUGAGUUGAUUUCUCUCUCUAGGUUUAAAAAAAUGUUUAAACAUGUGAACGAAUGAAAGAAUAUUUGAAAAUGUCUCUUUCAACAGGAAUAACAUUUUAAAACACAUAUUGGUUUCAUUUAUCAUAAUCCCAACAUUUUAACCUUGAAGCUUCCUUUUUACAUAGGUAAAAACAAUGUAAGAACACUUUUGAGCGGGGCCUUGUAUUUUUUGGAUCAUAUCAAAUUGAUAAUACAUUAUUAAAUACAACCCAUAGGUGGACUUAAACAUAAAGCAUAAUAAAAUGUUUUAUUUUAUUAAACUGUACUUAUUUUAUUCAAUUAAUACAAUUAUAUUUUUAUAUUAUUGUUAUUAUGACCACAUUUACAGUUUCUUUUUUCCAACAGUGGCUAUUGCAGAUAAAGAAGCAAGCAGCACAGGAGAGAGUUCUGCCACAAACAUCACAGAGACUCCACCAGCAGACUCCACACAUCAGCUCACCUGUAAUGUGUCUAACAAAGAUAAAGAAGCAAGCAGCAUGGGAGAGAGUUCUGCCACAAACAGCACGGAGACAGAGACUUCACCAGAAGACUCCACAGCAGACCCAAAUUCAGAGCUCACCCCUGAGUCUGACACUGUUUUACUUCCUCCUGCAUCUUCCUCCUUGGCUUCUCCUGUUUCCUUUACCACCCCCUCUCUUAUGUCUUUAUCCAUUGCUCCUCCAGUGUCCCCCCUGACUCAUCCUGCUUUUGUGUCCUCUCAGUCUAGUCCUAUAUCUUCUUCCUCUGCUUCUCCUCUGCCACCAGCCUCUAACCUUUCUACCCGUUCUAAACUAUCCACUGAGCAAGGCAGUUCAGGCCCAGUAGCUUCCUCAUGGAAAAAAAGACAAAUAAAGAGGAAAGCAGACCCUAAAGAAUGCCCCAUGCAUGAGGAAUCAACCAGUUUCCCAUACAAAAAGAUACUGAGGAAAAGAAUGAGGGAGGGCCAUGCAGAGGUGUUGGUUCAGUGGCAUCCUUGCUCUGGAUGUGGGAAAAAGUGGAAGAACUCAUGGGAGCCAAAAAGAAAUAUUCAAAGUUCAUCCUGAAGAUGUGUGUGUGUUCAGAUGUGUUGUUUGUUGCUAGGUUGUAAAGUUGAUGCCCUGUAUGACAAUUACAGAGACUGACUUAAAAUUUUGUCUUUUAGUGUAAAGGCACAUCAGUUCUGAUCUACAGUAUGCUCGUGUUCUGAUUUGUGCUUGCUUUGUGAAGCACACAGUCUUUCUGUUUUUGAUGACUGGACUCAUAAAUUUUUUUUAAAUAUGUAACUGGCUCUGUUCCUUAAUAUAAUUUAAGAUUAUUUAUAAUUUGUCAUUUAAGAGCAAAAAUAUAUGCACUGUAACUAAGUGCAAUUACUGAUGUUUACUGCUGAAAAUUUCAGAUAAAUCCACGUUGUUAUUAUUAUUAUUAUUUAUUUUCGUUAUUCAUGACCAAAAAGCACAUAUUAGCCCACAGUCUAGAUGUGUUUUUAAAUCUAUAAUGUGUGUAUGGGAGGAUAGACCAGUACAUUUUUUUGGGCCUUGCAAAUGAGCAAACAUCUGAAGCUGGUACUUCCUUUCCCUGCAGGUAAGAACACAAGGAAGAUAUUGAUUAAAUACUAUCAAUACCAGAACAAUACUUUUUGUAAAUGAUGGCACUUACCAUGCCCAUCUGCCACUGGACUUUGAGAUAAAUGGGUAAUGUAGUCAAUAAUUUCCAUCAGUUAUAAACUCACCCAUUCAUUGCAAAACUUAUGUUAUUGCCCUGAGAGAUCUAAUCAGUGCUAUGAAGAGCCCCUGUCUUUGCUACACAUUAAAAAAAAAUAAAAAAAUUGCAGAAUUUAUAAAAUUAUUAAAA
Long non-coding RNA from Cyprinus carpio (common carp), 2281 nucleotides. Lineage: Eukaryota; Metazoa; Chordata; Actinopteri; Cypriniformes; Cyprinidae. The record is from Ensembl.